RNAcentral lists this ribosomal RNA (476 nucleotides) under uncultured bacterium. RNAcentral's name for it is "bacterial SSU rRNA". It matches the Rfam family "Bacterial small subunit ribosomal RNA", at positions 28 to 507 of the family's 1533-position model. The record is from RNAcentral.
GAUGAACGCUAGCGGGAGGCUUAAUACAUGCAAGUCGAGCGGUAAGGUUUUCGGACCCUAGAGCGGCGAACGGGUGAGUAACGCGUACGAAACCUGCCUUUAAGAGAGGGAUAGCCCUGGGAAAUUGGGAGUAAUACCUCAUAGUAUUCAUUAACCGCAUGGUUUAUGGAUUAAAGCUACGGCGCUUAAAGAUGGUCGUGCGUCUGAUUAGCUAGUUGGUAGGGUAACGGCCUACCAAGGCUACGAUCAGUAGGGGGCGUGAGAGCGUGGCCCCCCACACGGGUACUGAGACACGGACCCGACUCCUACGGGAGGCAGCAGUAAGGAAUAUUGGGCAAUGGACGGAAGUCUGACCCAGCCAUCCCGCGUGCAGGACGAAUGCCCUAUGGGUUGUAAACUGCUUUUGUUUGGGAAGAAAUGUAUUCUUUUAAGAGUAUUUGACGGUACCAGACGAAUAAGCACCGGCUAACUCCGUG